UACGAAGGGGGCUAGCGUUGCUCGGAAUCACUGGGAGUAAAGGGUGCGUAGGCGGGUCUUUAAGUCAGGGGUGAAAUCCUGGAGCUCAACUCCAGAACUGCCUUUGAUACUGAGGAUCUUGAGUUCGGGAGAGGUGAGUGGAACUGCGAGUGUAGAGGUGAAAUACGUAGAUAUUCGCAAGAACACCAGUGGCGAAGGCGGCUCACUGGCCCGAUACUGACGCUGAGGCACGAAAGCGUGGGGAGCAAACAGG
Molecule: ribosomal RNA, 253 nt
Filed under: uncultured bacterium
Lineage: Bacteria
Description: partial 16S ribosomal RNA
Rfam family: Bacterial small subunit ribosomal RNA
Source: RNAcentral